GAUGAACGCUGGCGGCGUGCCUAAUACAUGCAAGUCGAGCGAACAGACGAGGAGCUUGCUCCUCUGACGUUAGCGGCGGACGGGUGAGUAACACGUGGAUAACCUACCUAUAAGACUGGGAUAACUUCGGGAAACCGGAGCUAAUACCGGAUAAUAUAUUGAACCGCAUGGUUCAAUAGUGAAAGACGGUUUUGCUGUCACUUAUAGAUGGAUCCGCGCCGCAUUAGCUAGUUGGUAAGGUAACGGCUUACCAAGGCAACGAUGCGUAGCCGACCUGAGAGGGUGAUCGGCCAAACUGGAACUGAGACCGGGUCCAGACCCCAACGGGAGGCAGCAGGGGGGAAUCUGCCGCAAUGGGCGAAGGCCUGACGGAGCAACGCCGCGUGAGUAAUGAAGGUCUUCGGAUCGUAAAACUUUGUUAUUGGGAAAGAACAAAGGUGUAAGUAACUAUGCACGUCUGGAGGGUACCAAAUCAGAAGGCCACGGCAAACUACGU
This 496-nucleotide ribosomal RNA is filed under the name uncultured bacterium. Its description in RNAcentral is "partial 16S ribosomal RNA". It matches the Rfam family "Bacterial small subunit ribosomal RNA", at positions 28 to 506 of the family's 1533-position model. The record is from RNAcentral.